AGCAGUCGCCACGGUAAUACGUAGGUGGCAAGCGUUGUCCGGAAUUAUUGGGCGUAAAGGGCUCGCAGGCGGUUUCUUAAGUCUGAUGUGAAAGCCCCCGGCUCAACCGUGGAGGGUCAUUGGAAACUGUUAAACUUGAGUGCAGGAGAGAAAAGUGGAAUUCCUAGUGUAGCGGUGAAAUGCGUAGAGAUUAGGAGGAACACCAGUGGCGAAGGCGGCUUUUUGGCCUGUAACUGACACUGAGGCGCGAAAGCGUGGGGAGCAAACAGGAUUAGAUACCCGUGUAGUCCCUGUCUCUUAUAC
Molecule: ribosomal RNA, 303 nt
Filed under: uncultured bacterium
Lineage: Bacteria
Description: partial 16S ribosomal RNA
Rfam family: Bacterial small subunit ribosomal RNA
Source: RNAcentral